Molecule: unclassified non-coding RNA, 240 nt
Filed under: soil metagenome
Description: partial contains 5.8S ribosomal RNA, internal transcribed spacer 2, and large subunit ribosomal RNA
Source: RNAcentral
AACGCACGAGACCUGCGGACCUGCGGAAGGAUCAUUAAUGAGAAACUGCCCCUCGCGGGUAGAUCUCCCACCCUUUGUAAACUUACCUUUGUUGCUUUGGCAGGCCCGUCUCCGGGCCGCCGGCUUCGGCUGGCCAGUGCCUGCCAGAGGAUUCUAAAACUCUGUCUGUCAGUGUUGUCUGAGUCUAUAUACAAUCGUUAAAACUUUUAACAACGGAUCUCUAGAUCGGAAGAGCACACG